GGAGCUAGCCGUCGAAGGUGGGACAAAUGAUUGGGGUGAAGUCGUAACAAGGUAGCCGUAUCGGAAGGUGCGGCUGGAUCACCUCCUUUCUAAGGAUAUAUUCGGAAC
This 108-nucleotide ribosomal RNA is filed under the name Staphylococcus aureus MUM270. RNAcentral describes it as "partial 16S ribosomal RNA". The stretch from base 1 to 89 matches the Rfam family "Bacterial small subunit ribosomal RNA", at positions 1445 to 1533 of the family's 1533-position model. Lineage: Bacteria; Bacillati; Bacillota; Bacilli; Caryophanales; Staphylococcaceae. The record is from RNAcentral.